RNAcentral lists this ribosomal RNA (1364 nucleotides) under metagenome. RNAcentral describes it as "bacterial LSU rRNA". It matches the Rfam family "Bacterial large subunit ribosomal RNA", at positions 1567 to 2912 of the family's 2925-position model. The record is from RNAcentral.
UGCAUACCCGUUGUGGGGAAUUCAGUGAUCCUAUGCUGCCGAGAAAAGCCUCUAGUGAGUUCAUACACGGCCCGUACCCCAAACCGACACAGGUGAUCAGGUAGAGAAUACCAAGGCGAUCGAGAGAACUGUGGUUAAGGAACUCGGCAAAAUGCCCCCGUAACUUCGGGAGAAGGGGGACCAUGCCCGGUGAACAUCCUCACGGUGGGAGCUGGGUGUGGUCGCAGAGACCAGAGAGAAGCGACUGUUUACUAAAAACACAGGUCCGUGCGAAGACGUAAGUCGAUGUAUACGGACUGACGCCUGCCCGGUGCUGGAAGGUUAAGAGGACCGGUUAGCCGUAAGGCGAAGCUGAGAAUUUAAGCCCCAGUAAACGGCGGUGGUAACUAUAACCAUCCUAAGGUAGCGAAAUUCCUUGUCGGGUAAGUUCCGACCUGCACGAAUGGCGUAACGACUUCUCUGCUGUCUCGACCACAGACUCGGCGAAAUUGCACUACGAGUAAAGAUGCUCGUUACGCGCGGCAGGACGAAAAGACCCCGGGACCUUUACUAUAGCUUGGUAUUGGCGUUCGAUUCGGUUUGUGUAGGAUAGGUGGGAGACUGUGAAGCAUGCACGCCAGUGUGUGUGGAGUCGUUGUUGAAAUACCACUCUGAUCGUAUUGGACGUCUAACCUCGGCCCAUGAUCUGGGUUAGGGACAGUGCCUGGUGGGUAGUUUAACUGGGGCGGUUGCCUCCUAAAGAGUAACGGAGGCGCCCAAAGGUUCCCUCAGCCUGGAUGGCAAUCAGGUGUUGAGUGCAAGUGCACAAGGGAGCUUGACUGUGAGACUGACACGUCGAGCAGGGACGAAAGUCGGGACUAGUGAUCCGGCACCGGCAAGUGGAAGCGGUGUCGCUCAACGGAUAAAAGGUACCCCGGGGAUAACAGGCUGAUCUUCCCCAAGAGUCCAUAUCGACGGGAUGGUUUGGCACCUCGAUGUCGGCUCGUCGCAUCCUGGGGCUGGAGUAGGUCCCAAGGGUUGGGCUGUUCGCCCAUUAAAGCGGCACGCGAGCUGGGUUUAGAACGUCGUGAGACAGUUCGGUCUCUAUCCGCCGCGCGCGUAAGAAACUUGAGGAAGGCUGUCCCUAGUACGAGAGGACCGGGACGGACGAACCUCUGGUGUGCCAGUUGUUCCACCAGGAGCAUGGCUGGUUAGCUACGUUCGGAAGGGAUGACCGCUGAAAGCAUCUAAGCGGGAAGCCUGUUCCAAGAUGAGGUUUCUCACCACCUUGCGUGGUUAAGGCCCCCUACAGACCAUGGGGUUGAUAGGCCGGAACUGGAAGCGCAGCAAUGCGUGGAGGUGACCGGUACUAAUAGGCCGAGGGC